This is a long non-coding RNA of Oreochromis niloticus (Nile tilapia), 339 nucleotides long. RefSeq lists it as uncharacterized. NCBI's taxonomy places the organism in Eukaryota, Metazoa, Chordata, Actinopteri, Cichliformes, Cichlidae. The transcript is spliced from 3 exons. The record is from RefSeq and is a predicted model, not a curated record.
CAGCAAGCAGUCUUCACUCACUUCAUCAAACCUUUCCUGUCAAGAAAUGACUCAACAGAUCCUGGCUGUGUCUCAUCUAUCACGGGGAGCCAAGAGUGGCUAAAGGCAAACCUUGGCAAGUUCUCUGAUUAUGCAACUCUGCAGGACUUGCAAGCCUUCAAUCCGAAUUUAUCCACUGCUGAAUUGUUGUCAGUCCUCAGUCCUUCUCAGGUGGCACAGCUGCUACUGAGCUCUAGAGCCUCCAAUAACACAGAUUUGAUUGAUCGUGUGUUUGAGCGACUGGAAGAGGGCAACGCUCUGGAAAAUGUGGAUGAAUUCCUCACACAACUGAAAGCCAGU